Molecule: transfer RNA, 75 nt
Filed under: Perca fluviatilis (European perch)
Lineage: Eukaryota; Metazoa; Chordata; Actinopteri; Perciformes; Percidae
Description: tRNA-OTHER
Source: RNAcentral
UCCCUGAUGGUCUAGUGGCUAGGAUUCGGGGGCUCCUUUAGCCCGCGCGGCCCGGUUCGAUUCCCGGUCAGGGAA